RNAcentral lists this long non-coding RNA (2748 nucleotides) under Homo sapiens (human). Its description in RNAcentral is "HSALNT0137342". The record is from RNAcentral. Lineage: Eukaryota; Metazoa; Chordata; Mammalia; Primates; Hominidae.
GUUGACAGUUUUGGUCUUUUUGUUUUAUUCUUAGCAUCAUUAUAGGUUUUUUAGAAAGAGGUUAAUGGGAAUCACUUAGGAGCUACUACCUAGACAAUAUUUAAACCACUUCAACCUCCCCACUCGUAACCCUUGGAUUUCUUUUACAUGUGCUGUUGGCUACUUAAGGCCAUUCUGAUGAUUGUGUAGUGGUAACUUAAUGUAGUUUUAAUUUACAUUUCUCUGAUUUUUGUGUACUUACUGAUUGAUAUGGUUUGGCUGUGUCCCCACCCAAACCUCAACUUGAAUUGUAUCUCCCAGAAUUCCCACGUGUUGUGGGAGGGACCCAAUGGGAGGUAAUUGAAUCAUGGGGGCAGGUCUUUCCUGUGCUAUUCUCACGACAAUGAAUAAGUCUCAUGAGAUCUGAUUGGUUUAUCCGGAGUUUCUGCCUUUGCUACUUCCUCAUUUUCUCUUGCUGCCACCAAGUUAAGGAAGUGCCUUUCUCCUCCUGCCAUGAUUCUGAGGCCGCUCCAGCCACGUGGAACUAGGAAAGAAAUCCAAGUAAAUCAAAAGGAACAGAAACUAGAAAUAUACAGGCAUACUUGUGGCUGGAGUUAUUCCACUACUUGUACAUUAUGUGGCUUACCUCAACAUGUGGAAAAAUACAGUGCAAUGGUGCAUGCCUGUAAUCCCAACACUUUGGGAGGCCGAGGCAGGAGGAUCACUUGAGCCCAGCGUUUGAGAUCAACAUAGCAAAAUCCCGUUUCUACAGAAAAAAAAAAAUUUGCUGCAUGUGGUGGUACACAUCUGUGUUCCCAGCUACUCAGGAGGCUGAAGUGGGAGGAUCACUUGAGGCUGGAGGCAGAAGUUGCAAUGAGCUGAGAUCUAGCCACUGCACUCCAGCCUGGGUGACAGAUUGAAACCCUGUCUCAAAAUAAACAACAAAGAAAACUUCGUCUCCUGCAGGAAGCUAUCAUAAUCCUGACUGCAAGCCACCUAUUUGAAACUUAUUUGAGUUAGAUCUUACGUUAUAUUUAUUUGACCUUUUUCAUCUGUCCAGUUUUCUUCUUGAGUUUAUUCAGUUACCUAAAGAAACUGAAAAUUACUUGUAGAUAGAAAUCACAUUUCAUAAUUUGCUUAUAAUUCCCCUCAGGCCUUCUGCAUUUUAUGCAUAUUGAACAUUACACAAUUUAAUGAAUGGAUCAUUGGAAAAUCUCUCAUUAUGUACACGAUUAUAGAUGCAAUACAUUUUCAUAAGUUAUAUAAUUGUUUUAUUUAUUUUUACAAUUAAGGCUGAAGAUUGAGGUCUAUAUGCACUAAUCUAUUCUUGAUGCAAUGGUUUAUUAAAAUGCCCUUUUAAAUUAUAGUAAGUUUUUGCAUUGAAAUUGGUUUGUCCUUGCUUAACAGAUUCGAUCAUUAAGAACAGUAAAGAGUUUCUCUCACUGAAAUCAUUAAUACAUUUACUUAUACAGAGAUAGAUAGAUAGGUGCUGGCAUAUACUUACAAGCUUAUGAAUAACACAGUUAGUUGCUUCACAUUGACUCAUUUCAGAAAUGUCACUGUAAGUCACAAAAUAUUUUGUGAAAUGAUUGUAGUAUACUUUCGGCUACAACACUGAGUCUGUUAUACCUGAGAAGAAAUUAGACUCUGUGGGGGGAAAAAGACAGAAAAAUUUCCAAAAUCAAAUUUUUAACACCAGGGUUGCUGUGAGCCUUACCCCAGGGGGUGCCGUUUGUGGCAUGGUCUGUGGAGUUAAACAGUGUAGGCUAUGUGGUUUUAUAUGGCAGCCCUGCAGAAACCAGAGAGUAUACAAAAAGGUAUCAUAAAAUUUUGAACUUUAGUGCCACUGCUCAGUUAAGUAGUCUUCAAACUCUUAUGGAUAUUUAGUCAAUCUGUUGUAAUCCAUGAUGUUAGAAUGUACAAUGGUCCUUACCAAUCAUUUUAUUUGGUAGAAAAGAAAAAUAAGAUAUAUCAAUGAGAAGUAAAUUAUAUAUUUAAAAUACAUAUACAUAACAUAGAAUUAAGAAAUAAAGCACAAAAUAUAUGACAAGCCUCUAAAUAUUAAGUACUUUUCAUAGUCUAAAUUUCUACUACUAUACCGUAACUAAGGGAGGAGGCCACCCCUCAUAUUGUCUUAUGCCCAAUUUCUGCCUCCAAAGAAAAAAAAAAGUGAAAACUAAAAGGCAGAAAUGACACCCACAGGAAGACAGCCCGGCGCCACACCCUGGGCCUAGUAGUUAAAGACUGACCCCUGACCUAAUCGGUUAUGUUAUCUAUAGAUUACAGACAUUGUAUGGAAAAGCACUGUGAAUAUCCCUGUCCUGUUCCGUUCUAAUUACCAGUGCAGGUGCAUGCAGCCCCCAGUCACAUACCCUCUGCUUGCUCAAUUGAUCACGACCCUCUCACACAGACCCCCUUAGAGUUGUAAGCCCUUAAAAGCGUCAGGAAUUGCUCACUCAGGGAACUCGGUUUUUGGAGACAUGAGUCUGCUGAUGCUCCUGACUGAAUAAAGCCCUUUCCUUCUACAAUUCGGUGUCUGAGGGAUUCUUGUCUGUCACUCGUCCUGCCAUAUAACCAUUAAAAUUGUGUCUUGCUUAUACGAGGAUUACAUCUCAAAAUAGGAAAAUAUUUUGUAGUGAUAUUUCAGUCUCCAAAUAAGACCAUCAUUUAUGGAAGUUAAAAUUAACUACUUCUGCUAAAUUAAUACAGGUUUGAGCUUUCAUAUUAACUAUAUGUUCUGGGUUUUUUUAUGUAACAGUAUCUUUUAGA